This 467-nucleotide ribosomal RNA is filed under the name uncultured bacterium. RNAcentral describes it as "partial 16S ribosomal RNA". It matches the Rfam family "Bacterial small subunit ribosomal RNA", at positions 28 to 507 of the family's 1533-position model. The record is from RNAcentral.
GAUGAACGCUGGCGGCGUGCUUAACACAUGCAAGUCGAACGGAAAGGCCCAAGCUUGCUUGGGUACUCGAGUGGCGAACGGGUGAGUAACACGUGGGUGAUCUGCCCUGCACUUCGGGAUAAGCCUGGGAAACUGGGUCUCAUACCGGAUAGGACCACAUUUUGGAUGGUGUGCUGGAAUGUUUUUCGGUGUGGGAUGAGCUCGCGGCCUAUCAGCUUGUUGGUGGGGUAAUGGCCUACCAAGGCGUCGACGGGUAGCAGGCCUGAGAGAGUGUACGGCCACAUUAGGACUGAGAUACGGCCCGGACUCCUACGGGAGGCAGCAUUGGCGAAUAUUGGACAAUGGGCGGAAGCCUGAGGCAGCGACGCCGCGUGGGCGAUGAAGGCCUUCGGGUUGUAAACUCCUUUCGCUAGGGAAGAAGCGUUUUUGUGACGGUACCUGGAGAAGAAGCACCGGCUAACUACGUG